GACGAACGCUGGCGGCGUGCUUAACACAUGCAAGUCGAACGGAAAGGCCCUGCUUGCAGGGUACUCGAGUGGCGAACGGGUGAGUAACGCGUGGGUGAUCUGCCCUGCACUUCGGGUUAAGCCUGGGCAACUGGGUCUAAUUCCUGCUAGGAGCCAUUUUUAGUGUGAUGGUUGGAAAGUUUUUUCGGUGUUGGAUGAGCUCGCGGCCUAUCGGCUUGUUGGUGUGGUAAUGGCCUACCAAGGCGGCGACGGGUAGCCGGCCUGAGGGGGUGGACGGCCACAUUGGGACUGAGAUACGGCCGAGGCUCCUACGGGUGGGAGCAGGGGGGAAGAUUGCAGAAGGGGCGCAAGCCGGAUGCAGCGAGGCCGCGGGGGGGAUGACGGCCUUCGGGUUGUAAACUCCAUUCGCAAGGGACGAAGCUUGUUGUGACGGUACCUAGAUAAGAAGCACCGGCUAACUACGUG
RNAcentral lists this ribosomal RNA (465 nucleotides) under uncultured bacterium. RNAcentral describes it as "partial 16S ribosomal RNA". It matches the Rfam family "Bacterial small subunit ribosomal RNA", at positions 28 to 507 of the family's 1533-position model. The record is from RNAcentral.